GAUGAACGCUGGCGGCGUGCUUAACACAUGCAAGUCGAACGGUGAACACGGAGCUUGCUCUGUGGGAUCAGUGGCGAACGGGUGAGUAACACGUGAGCAACCUGCCCCUGACUCUGGGAUAAGCGCUGGAAACGGCGUCUAAUACUGGAUAUGUGACGUGACCGCAUGGUCUGCGUUUGGAAAGAUUUUUCGGUUGGGGAUGGGCUCGCGGCCUAUCAGCUUGUUGGUGAGGUAAUGGCUCACCAAGGCGUCGACGGGUAGCCGGCCUGAGAGGGUGACCGGCCACACUGGGACUGAGACACGGCCCAGACUCCUACGGGAGGCAGCAGUGGGGAAUAUUGCACAAUGGGCGCAAGCCUGAUGCAGCAACGCCGCGUGAGGGAUGACGGCCUUCGGGUUGUAAACCUCUUUUAGCAGGGAAGAAGCGAAAGUGACGGUACCUGCAGAAAAAGCGCCGGCUAACUUCGUG
This 469-nucleotide ribosomal RNA is filed under the name uncultured bacterium. Its description in RNAcentral is "partial 16S ribosomal RNA". It matches the Rfam family "Bacterial small subunit ribosomal RNA", at positions 28 to 507 of the family's 1533-position model. The record is from RNAcentral.